UGAGUAACACGUAUGCAACCUGCCUGCCACAGCCGGAUGAUCGGGAGAAAUUCCGUCUAAUACGGCAUAAUGCAUCGACGGGACAUCCUGUUGGUGCCAAAGGUUAAUUCCGGUGGCGGAUGGGCAUGCGUCGCAUUAGUUAGUUGGCGGUGUAACGGACCACCAAGACGACGAUGCGUAGGGGUUCUGAGAGGAAGGUCCCCCACACUGGUACUGAGACACGGACCAGACUCCUACGGGAGGCAGCAG
RNAcentral lists this ribosomal RNA (249 nucleotides) under uncultured bacterium. RNAcentral describes it as "partial 16S ribosomal RNA". It matches the Rfam family "Bacterial small subunit ribosomal RNA", at positions 107 to 354 of the family's 1533-position model. The record is from RNAcentral.